RNAcentral lists this ribosomal RNA (543 nucleotides) under Vulpes vulpes (red fox). RNAcentral's name for it is "partial 16S ribosomal RNA". It matches the Rfam family "Bacterial large subunit ribosomal RNA", at positions 1844 to 2600 of the family's 2925-position model. Lineage: Eukaryota; Metazoa; Chordata; Mammalia; Carnivora; Canidae. The record is from RNAcentral.
UAUUGGAGGCACUGCCUGCCCAGUGACAUCCGUUAAACGGCCGCGGUAUCCUGACCGUGCAAAGGUAGCAUAAUCAUUUAGUUCUCUAAAUAGGGACUUAGUAUGAAUAGGCCACACGAGGGUUUAACUAGUCUCUUACUUCCAAUCAGUGAAAUUCGACCUUCCCGUGAAGAGGCGGGAAUACUACAAUAAGACGAGAAGACCCUAUGGAGCUUUAAUUAAUUAGCCCAAACUUAUGAACUUUAAACCCCACUGGGAAUAACAUACUACCAUUGUUAUGGGCUAACAAUUUAGGUUGGGGUGACCUCGGAAUAUAAAAAAACUCCCGAGUGAUUAAAAUUUAGACCUACCAGUCAAAAUGUACCAUCACUUAUUGAUCCAAUAAUCUUUGAUCAACGAAACAAGUUACCCUAGGGAUAACAGCGCAAUCCUAUUUAAGAGUCCAUAUCGACAAUAGGGUUUACGACCUCGAUGUUGGAUCAGGACAUCCUAAUGGUGCAGCAGCUAUUAAGGGUUCGUUUGUUCAACGAUUAAAGUCCUACG